RNAcentral lists this ribosomal RNA (440 nucleotides) under uncultured bacterium. Its description in RNAcentral is "partial 16S ribosomal RNA". It matches the Rfam family "Bacterial small subunit ribosomal RNA", at positions 338 to 795 of the family's 1533-position model. The record is from RNAcentral.
CCUACGGGAGGCAGCAGUAGGGAAUAUUGCUCAAUGGGGGAAACCCUGAAGCAGCAACGCCGCGUGAAGGAUGAAGGUUUUCGGAUUGUAAACUCCUUUUGUUAGAGAAGAUAAUGACGGUAUCUAACGAAUAAGCACCGGCUAACUCCGUGCCAGCAGCCGCGGUAAUACGGAGGGUGCAAGCGUUACGCGGAAUUACUGGGCGUAAAGAGCGCGUAGGCGGGAUAGCAAGUCAGAUGUGAAAUCCUAUGGCUUAACCAUAGAACUGCUUUUGAAACUGUUAUUAUAGAGUGUGGGAGAGGUAAGUGGAAUUCUUGGUGUAGGGGUAAAAUCCGUAGAGAUCAAGAGGAAUACUCAUUGCGAAGGCGACCUGCUAGAACAUAACUGACGCUGAUGCGCGAAAGCGUGGGGAGCAAACAGGAUUAGAUACCCGUGUAGUC